GGUCCGACGGGAGGAAGGGGUAGCUCUGUGACUCGGAUGCCUGAUGUCACAUCCCGUCGGGUUAAUGAGAAACCACUGACGGUAGAGUUUGAUCCCCGAACAUUUGUGCCUAUUGGGGCACAUGCAACAUCGUUCAAAAGUUACUUGGGCGUGAUGGAAAAAGCACAUGUCCCUAUUAUCGCUACCUGUUGGGAUGAUGUCCCACAGGUUGACAAAAAUCUACUAUGGCAGGAUAUUUUGGAAAAUUGGAAUAUCCCUAAUGAUGAGAGGAUAAGGAAGAAGAUUUUAUCCCACAUUGCAGUCCAGUGGAGGGACUUCAAGACGAGAAUGACACGUCAAUACGUCUUUGGCUCUAAACAGAACGACACUCCUUGUACAAAAUAUAAAAUAACUGAGGAGGAGUGGGUGCAGUUUAAAGAAUCUAGACUUACUCCUGAGUGACAGGUGAAAAGGAUAGUCCCCCAACAGAGGCAGAAGCUUAAUGAUACACCACACGUACUGUCACGUGGUAGUUAUGCGUUAUUAGAGAAAAAGAUGAGAAAACGUCGCGCUGAGGAGUAGGUCUUGAGCCACCUAAUCUAGCACCUCCACCAGCCAGACAUGAAUUGUGGAAGGCUGCACGGACAAAGUUCAAUGGCCAGUUUACGUCCGAGUCUGGUCAAGAGAUAUCCCAAAGAAUUGUAAGUGGAAACUUUUAACUGAUUAACAUAGUUCAUAAAAAAAUUAUGUAACAAACUUUUUAAUGUGUCUAGCUUCAUUAUGAUAUGCAAGAUGACUUGGUUGACCAACAGAGUUAAGGCACAUUUGUGGCACAAGGUAGGGAGAACCUCCUAAUAGCAGCCACAGGUCGGCUAAACCGCCCAGGUCGUGUGCGUAGUGUUGGAGGAGCUAUUGGAUUGAGGGACUACUUUGGCCCUAAACCAAGAAGCACAAUGUAAGACCCUAGAACCUCAAGAAUUUAUCGAGUUGUAAAAAGUUCAAGUUAUAAGGUAAAAUAGAAUGUUGUCAAAGUUUGACAUGGUUUACUAUUUUAAUUAUAACUUUUUGUAGAAAAUAUCAAUUGAGUUGAUUCUUUUUUGAUUGGAUAGUAGACUCAUAGAGCUUCGAUUUGAGUACUCAUACGCGUAUUUUUGACUUCGGGAAGGCGGUCAAUCGGACAGUCAAAGUUGCGAUAAUGUUGGUCCCUUGGGUCGGAGAGGAGCGUGGGCAGACCUCCUUUCCAAUUAUUAAGUGCUUCUUAGUGGAUUAAGGGGCCAUGGUGUCUCUUGGGCAGAUCUACAAGUGUGGGAAAAAGAGGAUAUGGGUUCUGCACUUGUGGGAGUGAAGUCGUUGCUGCAAAAUCCGUAAGAGAGGUGAACUUGAGAGCUUUUGGAGUUGCAAGGAGGCCAAGGUGCUGCAAGUCUUGUGGAGAUGGAUUCCAGGUUUACAAAGGAAGUCUUCAAGAGGUAAGGGGUUUAACUUAGGAUAUAACAUAGUGUAUGAUGGGUAGAAAGUAAGGGGAGCUAGAGUUUGGUUAAAAUUUGUUGUAUGCUAUGUAUGAUGUUUUGCAGAAAUUACGUUUGUUGAUGUUGGUUGCAAACUGGUUUGAGGGUUUUAAAGGAUAGAAAUGAAAUUGGGCAACUUGUAGAAGUGAAUUUGGAUUUUUAAAGUGUCAAAAGUGGUUUGAUACACCUAGUCUUGGAUCUAGUGAUCAAAUGGAUGUUUGUUUUAACUUAUAAACGUGUUUUUCCAUCAAUACAAAUGUGUAAAGAACCCCUUUAGUCAUUAAAACAGGUUCCAAGUGCAUCAAAAGUCAAAUUUCAUGGUUGUUGUCAACUGGUAUGGGGCUGGGCGCCCUCUAGUUCGCCCUGAGCACCCCUGGAUGCGAGGCGGUUCGCGCCGAGCGCCCCCCGAGGGCCCCUGGGCGUACCAGCACGUUGUUGUCUUUGUUUUUUAUAGCUUUUGGGGUUUCGGAUGUCCAUUUUGGACGUUCCUUAGGUCGUUUUGGGGGUUUUGAACCUGUCUCGAACUGUUGGUGAUGGUUUCAAAGCCAUUUUCUUUGUCUAAGUAUGAGUUACGGGAUUUUUUGUUGUUUAGUGGUUCUCUUGGGACUGUUAUUGUUUGGUAAUGUGUAUUGGAUUGAUUAAUGUUGUUUGCUUAACAAAUUGUCAUGUACGGUUAUGUAUGAGACUUGGGUGAUUGGAAAGAACAUGGUUGUGAACUAUAAUUAUGUAUUUGAGUAUGAAUUGGACAUCUCAGGGUGAGAUGAUUGGAAGUGGUUUUGCAAGGUAUUCGUAGAAAGUGGUGCCCAGCCCCCUUCUGUUGCGCCCAGGCGCGAGGUAAUUUUCGUUGUUCCUUCAAAACACUUGCUUUUUGUGGGUAUAUGUGGUUGAUGAAAAACAGUGACGAAGAAUGAAAGUUUGGGGUCUUGAGUGGAAGAAGAACAUGAAGGAAGAAUUAUGAAAGUGGAAGGUGAAGAUGGGCACAUUACAAUAGAGGCAAGGAGAAGUUAAUGAGAGUCUUGGGGUAGGAGUUGAGAAAGAAAGGAAUAGAGUAGAGUCUUGGAGUUGACUUGGAAUGUUAUGGAAAUGAAGAAAAAGGAGAAUAGUGAAAUGAAAAUUGUAGUGUUUAGGUGUGUGGAGAAGGGGUUACAUGGAUGGGACGUAAAUGAGGUGAGGAAUGAGUGUGAAGUUGGGAUUGAAAAGUCAAGGAGAGAUUAAACAAAUUAGAAAUAAGUGUUGAUGGAUUUAAUGAAAUGAAGAGAGGAAAACAAGGAGAAAGUGGUGUAUAAUAUGAUGGGGUCUUGAGUGUUGGUGGAUUUAAUUUAAGAAAAAAAAAGGGUAUGGUGGUUGGGUGAAGAAGAGUGGUUACGUAACUUUGGUGUGAGGAAGAAAUUGUUUGGUCUGAAAAGUCAAAUAAAGUGGGAAGUGGGAUCCAUGGUUUUAUGAGAAAAGAUGAGUGAAUGAAAUUUAUGUAUUGAAAACAAAAGAGAAAGAGAAAGAAGUGAAGGGUUACGUAAAUAGAGAAAGAGAGAGUUGGUAAGAAAUGAGUAGUUUCAUGUAGGACCUACUUGGAAUUAAGAGAAAAUAUAAUUUAAAGGUUUUGGGGUUCACUUGAAGAGUUAGAUGUAGAAGUGAUGGGGAAGUGCAUACCUAGAGAGAAUAUACUAAAUGACAUUUAAGAGAAUGGGAAAGAAAUUAAAAAUGGAAGAGAUUAGAGAAAAGGAAACUUAGGAAUUGAAGAUGCGCCACUUGAACAAUCUUCCAAGAUAAGCAUCAAGAGGAGGACCGCCACUUGGUUGAACAAGAUAAGGUCUGCCCAAAUUUGGGACUUUAGAGACAGAAUUCUAUCUCCAAUAAGAUUGCAAAAGUGCAAAUCAACUCAAAUUCAUUGAAUCAAGGUAAGGUGUACAAAAAGGAGACCCCUAAGCCUUCUUAUAUAACCUUUGGAGUGAGCUAAGAUGCAAGAUCUAGGAGAUGUGGGACUUUUGAGGGUGUAGUCCGUUCAGCAGCUGCUACAGGUCUUCUAGGGACUUUUGAGUCCCACAUUGCUCAAUUCUCUCCACUCCAAAGGGUUUAUAAGGCAACUAGUUCUCCUAUAGUUCAAAAUAUGACAACUAGCUAUGCCAUUAACUCCUACACGCCUAGAAUGCUCACUUUCUCUUCUCUUCUUUUUAAGAUCAAGCCAUGGAUAGUCCCACAUUGCUUGCUCUUAAAGAGAAAGAAGAGUUUAUAAGCAAUUAUUCACAAGAACUAAGAGAAAGAAAUCAAAAGGCAAAUACAUGCCCAAAGGAAACCUAUUCUACUUGAAAUGUGUUGGGAAUUUAGUAAAAGUGGGGGUGCACUUGAAAUGUUGUUCUAGUUUAUGGAAGUGUGAAAUUAGUAAUUUCAGAGGAGUGUGGCAGUAGGAUAAAUAAUUAAAUUAAGUUAUUUAAUUAUUUGUUAGUCAAUGAAUUUUCUUGAAUCGAUGGUGUUCGUAUUGCGAUACGAUAGUGUAUUGAGUCUCUACGGAGACUAAGGUUCGAGUGUGAUGGUUGUGAUGGUAAAAUUGUGAGAGCAAGCGUUCUGCCAUUUCCUUAGAAUUUUUGUCGAAUCGAUGGUGUUCGUAUUGCGAUACGAUAGUGUGUUGAGUCUCUGCGGAGACUGAGAUUCGAGUGUCACCCUUUCCUCAUGCGCGGGGACUAGAGAGGGUUGGAUGUCUCGCCCAAUGACUUCGGCUCGUGUGAGUAUAGUGCUCGGUGGGUGCGCCUAACCGAAGUUUUUACUCGUAAUUCCUUGAGGAGUCGGACAGAUAGGUCUGAAGUUGCGAUGGAAGACGGCUCGAAUCGCCCUGUUUUGCGAAACAGGUUUGGUACGACAAAAUUCAAGGAAACAAUAGAAGCUUGAGGAAACGAUUGAGUCGUGAGUUUAAUACUGUGAUGUAUUGUAAUAUUGUGACUUGAUAGUCUGAGUAGUGAUGAUCUGAGUUAAUAAUAUUGUGACUUUGAUAGUCUGAGUGGUGAUGAUCUGAGUUAUGAGUUGAAUAUUGCGUUGUAAUGUAAGGUUGUGACUAGGAAAAUCUAAGUUGUGAUAUUUUGAUAAUGAAAUUAUAUGCUAUGUUAGGUUCUUCGUUACUCACCCUGAAAUGUUGUGGUUGUGGUUUCCACCUACGAUGAUCGUACUUGUACGGGAGUAGAUGGCGUUGUAGAUGAGGCAGAGAUGAAGUAGCACGACGAGAGUUAUGGGAAAUACUAUGGGGAAUUUAUCAUGUUUUAAAGUAAUUUUAUGUUUUUGAAUAAUGAAUUUUAUAUUUGUAAGGUUUUAACCUUAUGUUGUAAGACGCCUAGACUUUUGAUAUUUAGUUUCGCGAUGUUAAUCUAAAAAAAAAAAACUGGCGUAAAAUUUUGGAUUUUGUUAUUUUCUAGUGGUACUCCGUAAGGGGUGUUACACACAGAAGUCGUGGCUCAGGAAAUGGUUAGUAGCAUCAGGCAACAGGUGCAAGUCGAAUUAGAGGAAAGCAUGGGUGAAUGCUUCAGAAUGGUCGAAGAAAAACUUGCGAUGAUCACCCAACCACAACAACAACAGCAACAACAACAACAACAACAAUAGCAACAACAACAAGAGCAACAACAACAGUCACAGCAGGAGGACGCCCCUACAAAUGAUCCUACUACACCUCGUGUGAGCACCAAAGGCUCAUACUCUACUGCAGAUCGUACUAAUUACAAUAUUCAGUAUGAGUUUUUCGUUGAUAAGGAUCCUCCGCGCGUAGUGGUCGUGUGAUGACAGAUUGCAGGAGGCCAGACCAUUCAUAGUGCUCCUUUAUUGCCCACUCACGCGCGGGUAAUGAUUGAUGAUCCAAGAGACCCCCAGGCUCGAGUGCUAGUGCCUACAUCUGAAAUCCAAUUCGUGGGGGAGGCCUUAGGCACAUUUAUAGCUUGGCCUAAGGCUAUGAUCAUGCCAUAUUUUGGCCCAUCAGCGGUCUACCGUUCUGAGAAACAACCAAUUGCUCAACUUGUGAACAAGGCUCGUGAGGAAGCAAAAGACCAUGAUGCUAUAUCCAUAUUGACCUCCAGAUUAAAUAAGUUGAGAAAAGGACCGGUAGAGAUGUUGUGGGAGUUAAGAACAUUUGGCCUUGAGUUCCAUGUUCCAUUGUAUAUUAAUUUCGAUGAUGCUUAUGAGAUCAUUGGUGGAGAAAAAAUGCUCAACAUUUCAUCC
This is a long non-coding RNA of Vigna angularis (adzuki bean), 5675 nucleotides long. RefSeq lists it as uncharacterized. The transcript has 4 exons. NCBI's taxonomy places the organism in Eukaryota, Viridiplantae, Streptophyta, Magnoliopsida, Fabales, Fabaceae. The record is from RefSeq and is a predicted model, not a curated record.